Non-coding RNA from Taeniopygia guttata (zebra finch), 9171 nucleotides. The record is from RefSeq and is a predicted model, not a curated record. Lineage: Eukaryota; Metazoa; Chordata; Aves; Passeriformes; Estrildidae.
GUUCCUCUGAUGUGUUUUUUUCUUCCAGGGCUAGUCUGGAGUCAUGUCUGUCCAGGCUGCUGAUCUGCCUUGCUGGGGUUUGCGGGGCGUGGGGGAAGGGGAGGAGGUCUGUAGAUCCCCAUGUGCCUUAACCCUAACUGGGAGACACUGGGGCCUGAUGGAUGGGGCUUGGCAGUGUAGGCUUAUCUCACCUUAUCAGGAUUUCCCUGACAGCAGCACACUGCAGGCAGGGCAGAGUCCACCCUGUGGCUGUGAUAGGUCUGCCAUGCGCCACCUAUGACAUCACCCCAUGUGUCACAAAGGUUUCCCCUGUCCUGGGAGCUGUGUUCAUGAGGCUGGAUGAGGGCUGGCAGGACUGGCAUGCCAAGGCUGUGGGAGGGCUCUGCUCAGGGAUACCCCAGAUGUGGGAGAACCAGCCUUCCACCCAUAGGAAUCCAGAGAGCCCUCCUGAACACAGUGCUGUGUUCAUGUCCCAGUGCCCCUGGGACUACCUAAUGCAUGCUUUGUGCCCCGUCAUGUCCAGCACCCUGGGGCUGCCCUGUGCCUGUGGGGCUCCACAGGGAGGGAUCCCUCGGGCAGCACAGGACAGCCUUGGCUGACAAGUGGAUGACUGCUUGAGAGACAGAAAACUCAGUUUGGGUUUGUCUGGAAGAUAACAGGGGAUAAGGAGGGAUGCCUAAUGCUCUGGCCUUCACCACCCAAGCAGCCAGUGGGUUACAGGGCUGGCCCUGCAGCAGAUCUCCCCACUGUGUAAUCAUGUAGCUGCUGCCAGCUGCUGGCACAAGGCUGGUGUCUGGCUGGACAGUGAGGAUGUGGGGCUGAGCCCUGGACUACCCAACCCAACAGGCAGCACUGCCAACCCUGCACCCAGCUCCGCUGACGUGGCUCAAGGCUGUAGACAAGGCCAGUGUGCGGCUGAGCUCCCAAGGACACAGGGCUGACCCUGAGUGGGGGAGCACUGAGCUCUGCUGAAGAUGCCAGUACUCAUGGUCCAUGCAGUGAGGGUGGAGAGUAGUCCCAGCCUGGGUCAGCAGGAGGGCAGAAAUGGGCUGAUGAAGCAAUUCUUUCACCCCUUCUUCUGCACGCCGUGUUCCAUUUAGGACUCCCCAGUACAAGAAAGAUCCCAUACUGGAGUGAGGCUGGUAAAGGUUGCUGAACUGGUUAGGACAGGAGCUAGGCUUACUUGGGCUGAAGAAGAGGAGAAAUCAGAGUUUAUCUGCCCUGAACUCUGAGUCAUGGCAGGACUCAUUUCUUCUCCUUUUGCACUCCCCAGGCCAGCAUGGGCAUUGGGGUGAUGCCUCCUAUGGAGACAUCUUGCAGGCAGCUGCUGGAUGACCAGACUGUGUAAGUGGCUGCCAGACCUGGGGCCUCAUCCAUGUCUCAGUGCUGACACACCUCCAGAUGUCCCCAUGUCCAGCCUUGCCUUUUGUGCCAGCCAGCAGCACUGGCUCCUCAUUGUAUGUGUGUCACACAUGCCGCUGGCCUGCUCGUGUCACCUGGGGACAGGCACCCUUGGAGGAGACACACAGCUCUGCCUCCUGGAAAAGGAAUUGCUGCAGCACUGGAGAUUAGCUUCUCUGCUUUUUACUGAUCUAAGCUGGAACUUACAACUUUGUGGAAGGAAGCAAUAGAGCAUCCAGGGCAUCCAUGGCUCUGAACAUGAAAGGCAGAACAGGGAAAAACUUCACGAGAGAAGAUGUCUUGUGAAGGUUGGAAGACACAAUUCCAGCUGUAACGAGAAAAGGAAUGGUGCGGUUAUUUCACGCCUGAGUUGAUUAUCAGUUCAAGUACUUUGCAGACCCAGGGAGACCCUUGAGGGUUCCUUUGGACUCUGGCAUGUCCACAAGUCCACAAGGACCCAUAAGUCCCUCCACCCCAUGCUGGUUGGUGGGCACUCCCCAAGCCGGCAGCCAACACAGCCACCACCUGUCUGCACAGGAGAGCCUGGGUCAAGCUGUGUCCCCAUGUGACGUCUUUGUCCCAUCUGGAUCCCAUCCUUUGGCACCAAGACCCCACACCAGUGCCACCCUAUCACAUUUGCAUGACUUGGGACCGUCAUCACACAGCAGCCAGAAGUGCCCCAGCCUGCUGCAUCAGGCUACUCAGGCUUUCCAUCAGCAUGAUGGAGAUGUGGGCACUGGGAUGUGGUGGGAGGCCAUCUCUUUUGCUGGUUUUGUGACAUUUGCCUGCUUCCUGGCUACCCUGUGGUGGGCUUAACUCACCUGCACCCUGCAGUCCUGGCUCUAGGGAGAGCACUGGUUCAGGCUGGGGUGGCACCGGUCCCCAUGGGUGCACAUGCCACCCUGGCCACAGACAGCCCACGUGCCUGGCCCCAGGCUCUGGGAAGGCUGUGCUGGUUGUCAUCAUGUAGCAUCUGCCCAGAGGUCUUCGAGAAAAGAGCCAUCCCUCUAGGAUAUAUUGUCUAAUUUUAUAGGGGGAAGGGACUCUUGCCAGAUUCUCAUUGCAGAAACAGAGCUGGCUCCAUCAGCUAUUUUCAGUGUGAGGCUGAGCUGUAGGGACGAUGGAGGUCAUCAGGCUCUGCACAUCUGCAGGUUCUGCAGCUCACAGGAACCAUCUCCUGCUCUGGGUCUUCAGCCACAGCUGCAGCCUCCUCAAGGUCUUUUCCAAGAGUCAUAGAGCACCCUGAAGGCCCUGGUUCCAGCAGUAAAUAACCACCCUUGCCUACAGGAAAAUACAGAAAGCCCCAAGACUUAAGGCAUUUCCCCAUGCCAUUGUGAUCUUGGGACCACCUGGUUUUACUGCCCUGGUGAACACAUCCCCAUAAAUUAUGGAAACUACCCAGAAGGAAGCAACUCUGCAAGGAGUAGUACCUGACUGAUGCAUAUCACUGCACUCCAGGUGAAGGUCAGGUAAGUGAUGAACCAGCAGGAGCUGGGUAUACCAAGAGCAGGAGGAGCAGCAACUUAGAGGAGGGACCCCCCUUCCCAGCAUGUGUGGAGGCUUGGCAGGAGCUGUGGGCUGGCAUGCUGGGGAGAGAAAAGUUCAUGGGGUUGAGGCAUUUCUGGAAAGCACAGUUGCUUUUCUUUCAAUGUCCAAGGAAAACUGUGGGCUGGAAUUAUCAUCUCUUUGGAAAUGAGAUGAAGGGACCAAAGCAGCUUGACAAGAGAAAAAAUUCCCACAUGCUUCAGAUUUCCUUCCCAUUGUGUGCAACAGAUGUGACAAAUGAUGGGAAGGUUUGGGUGCCUGCAACAGGAGGUGUGUAUAGCACUGGGUGAAUCAUUUACUGCAACGUCAGGCAAACAAGCCACAGCACGUGUGUGCUUGUUACUCCCAGGUGACAGAGCAGGGCCCUGCAUGCAGCCAGCUCCACCCCAAGCACCCCAUGGGGACUGGCAGGACUGCAGCCUGUGCAUCCUCGCCUGCAACAUCCACACCACGUCCACAUCAUUGUAUGGCUCAGCAAAGGGGUAUGAAUGCAGGACAAGCUUAAAAACUUGAGGAUUCCUCCUUGAACUCUACAUAUCUCCCAGUAAAGCCAGUUUCCCUGGUUUUGGUAAAGGAAGCAGUCAAUUUCAGAUGGCCUUGGGCCCCAGUGAAUAUCUCCUUCCCACUGGAGCUGAGUCUGGUGCAACUGAGUUGGGGCUUCUCCUGGCUCAGUCCAAUGAAAUUGCUGUCCUGGCUCUCAUUUGUAGUCCAGCCUAGACACAAGGCAGGAAUUCCAGCAAUUUUUAUGGAGGGCAAGCCUCAGGAACAGUCACAGCACAAAGCCUCUGCAGAUGUUGGCCAGCAGCAGGAUGAGGCCAGCUGUGUCCCAGGCUGUUCAAGAUUGCCAGCAGUAACAAAGAAGGGCAGUUACACAGAGCAGCAAUUCAUGGAGUGAGUCCUAGAGACGUGGCAUGCUGCUGACACAAGGGAUUCUGCAAAGGAAACUGGGAGCUUCCUUGUCCUCUGGCCAAAGAUGGUAGCCUUGGCCUGUUCUGCUGUUGUCACGACCCACUGGUAAGAGGCAUGAUGUUCAGCAUAAAUCCUUACCAGGCUGAACAAAGCCACUGGACACAUGUCAGGAACUCCUGUGUUUCAUUGUACAGUCACUGUAACUCUGGCAACCAGCCCACUGCUUAGACUCAAAAGAUGUUGGCCAACAAGCCUGUAAAUUCUUAUAACACACUUCCACCAGGUGCUGUCUAGCAAGCCACAACACAUUUCCAUAAACUUACCACUUGCACAACGAAGUUCAGUACAGAGUAUGGGGUGGAAUAUGGUGUGUUUUGCCCAGGAGAGGAAUAAACACAGGAGAGGGAGAAAGGGAACAAAGAUUAUAAUCAGUAUGUAGAUCCCAUCUUGGUCUUGCUGCAUGGAUGGUCCAGAGCUGGGGUUGUCAGACAAAGAAAGUGAAAAAAAAAGGAGGGAAAAGACACUGAGUGGGUCCAAUCCACUUUAUUUGCUAGUUAACCUGGUACAAGCCUUUUUGUAAACUUGACUCUUUGUUCAUGCAUGCACAGCCAGCCAUUUCAGCCCUCCUGCAGGAAGUGUGUUGGAGGAGGGAACGGAGCAUGAAACUCAGGGGGGAGCAGGAAAUCAGCUAAGAAUGCACUGCCCACCCUCCAUGGGACUCUCUCCUACAAUCACAUCAUUCCAGUUGUAAAUCAGAAUGAUUGAGACCAAACAUGCCUAUGUGUGGUCCAUUACAGCCAUCAGGAAUGGUGACUGCAGAAGCACCAAAGUUUUAUGAGCAGCAGGAGCCCCAGGGAACCCAGCAGGCUGGGGAGUGGAUCUGGCCUAGAAAACUACCAAGUUGUGAAAUACAAAGUUGUGUUUCAUGUCAGGUAAAUAAAGGUAACCUGUGUAAUUGUAAUUGUGAAAUGUGUGGAAUACGGCCAUGGGACAGUUAUAAAGAUGAGUUCUAAUAAAUAACCGAGGAAAGCAUGGAAGAAGGCUUUUGGACCAAUGUUUUGUUUGCAAUUAAUGAUUAUAAGUCUUUAGCUGUUUUGUAGUACGAGUAUUUGAAUUAUAACUUUAGAAUGUUGCCUUUUGAUAAGAACAUUUUUCUUGUAAUGAAGUCUUAAGCUGUUUUGUAAUAAGAGUACUUGAAUUACAACUUUAAAAUGUUGCUUUGUAUUAAGGAUUUUAAACUGUAGGAUUUAAACAAAAGAGGGAAAUUAACCUAUUCCCAAGCUCCUAGCAAAACAGUGAAAAUAUCCUGGAAAAGGAAGAUGGACAUCAACAUCGCUGAUUAGUGAUUUUGAAAAGGGAAGCUGGACAUCACUAUCCCAGAAUAAUGGUCCUAGAAGCUGGACCCCACAUCAGGAAGAUGGACCCCACUAUCUGGGACACACAUCCUGGAAUAUACAUCCUAGGAUGCUGAAACCUGGAAUAGAUCACAAUAGAGUAUAGAAAUUGGAAAGGAACCAAUGUAUGAUCUAUCACCAUCAUAGAUUUACGAUCCUGAAGUAUAGAAUUGUGACAUCAAAAAUUUGAAAUAGAAACUGCUGAGAAAAGCUUAUGAAUAUGCAUGAACAUGAUCAACAUGAUCAAUAAACACCAGCCAGCCCAGCAAUCAGUGUGCAGUUGGAGGGGAAAACUCCCACCACUGUACCCAGCACUGUCUUUGCUCAUAUGUCACCAUAUUAAUAAAUACAUUGAAUUGCUGCUUGAUAUAUUGGCUGAGUCAAGCUUCUCAUUUCUAACAAAUUAGCAAAUCCAGCUGCUCUUCCAGAAAUCUCCCCCUGGAGCAUCCCUGAAGGAAGGGCAGCUCUGGCCAGGAGGCUGCAUAUUUUUAUUCUGGAUACUCAUAGCACCUACAACUUUGCUUUAAAUCAUCCUUGUGUCAGUCAAUUUAGAACACCAGAACAGCUUCACAGGCUCUCAAGCAUCAGGAUUGCCUCUACCAUGUGGCCACACCACAUGCACAGUUACCUCAGGACGCAUUCCUGAGGCUGAUAGUCACCUUUCCUGUGUCCUGUGGCCAGAGGUUCUUCAGAAAAGGAAAAGGGCAGAUUUUAAUCAAUUUCUUUUGGAUUCACAUCAUGGUCAAAGCAGAACUGGCCGUUUAUCUUGGAAAGCACAAAGCAAAACACAGGUUUUUUUUUUUCCCAACUGAGGAUGCUAUUUGGGAUCUACAGACAUUUCCUGAGAGCCAAGUGGGGUCCAGAUGCUUCUUGGGAGCACUGAAGUAGUGCAAGGACUCAUCUGAACUGAGCCGCCCAGGCUGAACUGCUGUCAGAGCUGGUGAGCACUGACUGCCUUGUGGUGCAUUCCAGAGCUCAUCAUUUUAGUGAGAGGGAUGUCCUUUACUGAGUAGAGGGACAUUCUGGCUUCCUGUUCCAAGAAGGCAGAACAGUGUGUGCUCUUGUUGCUUGUUUACAUUUUUAUUUGGUUAAUCAGAAGUUUCUUCUUUUGUACCAAAACUUUUGUGUUUGACACAAAAGAACAUAUUGGAAUGCUAUUUUUCUAACAAACAUCACUACUGGGCUUCAGUGGGAUAAAGAAUGUUGCUUUUUAAGAUCACUGCUCAGCUGGGUCACUGAUCAUUGGAGCUUUUCAGCUGUGUCAUUUUUAGGAGUAAAACAUAGCUGCAGGAAGACUCAGAACAACUCUCUGAGAGGGUAUUCCUUCUAAAAACCCCAGAGGAGACUAUUGCUGCUGCUGUUGCAUUUCUGCAGCCCUCCAGGAAUCACUGUGUGCAUAGUGAACAAAUGAAAAAAAUCUCUGGGAAUCUUUGAAUGAAGGGUAACUAAAUCAAGGAUAGGCAAACCUGACAUCAUUGCAAUUUGGGAGAAGAAGGUGUUAUGUGCAAUAUGGAUAAUUCGUGCCUGUAAAGAUAUAUAUAUAGAUGUAAUAUGUUAUAUUGCCAAGGAAUAUUUGUAUAAAGUUUUAAGCUUGCAAGACAGAGCCAAGGGAUUGCCUCACAUAUGUUGAAACCACCACUGAAAAGAGGGAGGAGGACUACAUUUGCAAACGAAUAAAGAUAUCUGCCUGGAGAUGGGUCGUUCCCCAAGGUGAUCCAAGGAACUCCUAAGUGAUGAUUGACUCAAUAAAUAUCUAACAUUGAGAUCGCUGGAGGCACUGGAAAGAUACAUCUCAAUGCCAAGUUCCAGUAACUCAGUCAUGGACAUACAUCGCUCUCUGGACACAGUUUUGUUCAACUCAACAUAGAGAAAAGGAACUCUAUGAAUAAGUGGGACACUGAGUAGAAGAAUAGCCUGAUCGCUGAAAACUCUGCCUCAGGCAAAAUAAACUGUAUAAAAACCACUUGAACAGGAAGGUUGGUGUGAAACAUUGGAGACCCUAUGCUGUAGCGGUCGGACCUGUGUCUCACCCAGCGCCGAUUCCGGGCUUGGCACUGUCUUUUUUAUUGUGGCUGGCUCGAUUGAAUUUUGAUAGCAGAAUAAAACUUAUUUUUAUUAAUUUUUAAUUUGGCUGGAUCAUUUUUACCUAUAACAAAGGGAUGAGCUACCAGGGCCACUGUAAAGGGAUUGACAUUAGGCACCAAAGUUAGUGUCGACUUGAGACACUUUGUAUGCUGUGGCAAGACUUGUCACAAGUUAAAGGCCAGCUUCUCUGAAGCUCUGGGCUCCCUCUGGAGCCCUCACUUGUUUUAAAAUUUUAAAAGAUUAAUAGUAAUAAAAUGGUCAUAAAAAUAGUAAUAUAAAUUAGAACAAUAAGAGUUUGGACAAUCAGAGUUAGGACAAUAAAGGACAAUAAAGCAAAAAAUUAUGAACAUUGGGAUGCUUUCCUCAAAAAAAGCAUGGCUUGCUAACAAAGGAUUAAAACUUAAAAGCAAUAACCUUUUGCAUAUUCAUAUAUGUCAUACAUGAUGCAUACAUUCCUUUCAAACGAGGGAGUUCUCUGGUUAUUGUCAACUUUCCUCCUGUUGGCACCUCAAAGACAAGAAGGAGGUAGAAUAAAGUUUGUCUUUUCCCAUAAGGAGGCCUCUUGGGGAUUUCGGUGUCUUGUUGCUGUUACCUCUCUGCAAAGAACUUCUUGAUUAUGUUAUGUGUAAUGAAUGUAAUUCGCACUGGUAUAAUAUGAUGUAUGUAAUAUUUGAUAUUACUGGGAGGAUGCACAAAUUGGCACUGGGAGUUGCCCCACAUAUUCAAAAACCGGUCUGACAAAACCUAAUUUGCAAGCUAACACAUGUGGCUUGUCCAGAGAUGAGUUGUUUCUCCAGGUGAUACAGGAACUCCUGGGCUAUGAUCAUCCCUGCAACGACUGGAGAUUGGGAUCGCUGGAACCCUCCAGGCUGAUACAUCUGAAUGCCGUGUUCCAGUAACUACAUGAGGGAGAUUCAUCACUUCACAGACACCGAAUUGUACCAACCCAACACAGAGAAAAGAGACUUUAUGAAUAUGUGGGACUUUGAAUGGAAAAAAAAGGCUGAUCACCAAAAUCCCAGCCUCAGGCAAAAUAUUCCUUAUAAAACCUGCUUGUACCAGGAGGAUGGUGUGUGGGCACAGGGGGGACCCUCUGCUGAGGCUAUCCACUCUGUGACGCACCCAGUGCCUAUCCUGGGCUCAGCACUGGCCUUUUCCUUGUGGCUGGCUCAGAGAGAAUUUGAUCGCUAUAAUAAAAUUUCAUUUUUAUUUUUUAAUUUGGCUGGAUCAAUUUUUAUCUAUAACAAUUAUCUCAUCUCUUUCUUGAACCAGUUAAAAAGUAUCUUACAUUGCAUAGUUUCUAUUUUAACAUUAUGUAAUAACCUAAAACUAUAUUUAACACACUACUUAAGAGAAUUAAUACAGCAUAACUUUCUAACAUAACACACAUAAUAUUCAUUUUAAUAUUUGUGAAAAGCCAAUAAUAAAAUAUGUGUUUUUCAUAAACCCAAAAGGGAGGAGUAGCAGCAGCCAGUGCACAUGUCUGUGGGGAGCUGGAAGAGAGGGAGGCAACCCUAGCUGGUCCAGAACAGAGGUGGAGCAGGGAGCUGUGUGGGGCAGAAAGGAAAAAGAAGGAGGUGCUCUGGCAGCUGAGGAUUGUGCAGAAAAACCACUCUAUGAAAAGCCAGUGUCCAUAAAGGAAACAGAGGAGUCCUGCAACUUUAUUUGAGUAAAGAGAGAGUGUCCAGUGGGACAUAACCCUGUGCAGUUUCUCGGUUUUGGACGAUGCAAAUAGAAGGCAAAAAUACUUGUCUUGUACAGUGCGGUCAUGUAUUUCACGGAUGACCUCCACAACGCUGCCCGCCGGCAUAAUAAACAUACCACUUUCUAACUUUGA